CACGUCGGGCGCAAGCGUUGUCCGGAAUUAUUGGGCGUAAAGAGCUCGUAGGCGGUCUGUUGCGUCCGCUGUGAAAACUCGGGGCUUAACCCCGAGCCUGCAGUGGAUACGGGCAGACUAGAGGUAGGUAGGGGAGAAUGGAAUUCCCGGUGUAGCGGUGAAAUGCGCAGAUAUCAGGAGGAACACCGAUGGCGAAGGCAGGUCUCUGGGCAUUAACUGACGCUGAGGAGCGAAAGCAUGGGGAGCGAACAGG
RNAcentral lists this ribosomal RNA (253 nucleotides) under uncultured bacterium. Its description in RNAcentral is "partial 16S ribosomal RNA". It matches the Rfam family "Bacterial small subunit ribosomal RNA", at positions 524 to 776 of the family's 1533-position model. The record is from RNAcentral.